This 492-nucleotide ribosomal RNA is filed under the name uncultured bacterium. RNAcentral describes it as "partial 16S ribosomal RNA". It matches the Rfam family "Bacterial small subunit ribosomal RNA", at positions 29 to 507 of the family's 1533-position model. The record is from RNAcentral.
AGUGAACGCUGGCGGUAGGCCUAACACAUGCAAGUCGAACGGCAGCACAGUAAGAGCUUGCUCUUACGGGUGGCGAGUGGCGGACGAGUGAGGAAUACAUCGGAAUCUACUUUUUCGUGGGGGAUAACGUAGGGAAACUUACGCUAAUACCGCAUACGACCUACGGGUGAAAGCAGGGGAUCUUCGGACCUUGCGCGAUUGAAUGAGCCGAUGUCGGAUUAGCUAGUUGGCGGGGUAAAGGCCCACCAAGGCGACGAUCCGUAGCUGGUCUGAGAGGAUGAUCAGCCACACUGGAACUGAGACACGGUCCAGACUCCUACGGGAGGCAGCAGUGGGGAAUAUUGGACAAUGGGCGCAAGCCUGAUCCAGCCAUACCGCGUGGGUGAAGAAGGCCUUCGGGUUGUAAAGCCCUUUUGUUGGGAAAGAAAAGCAGCAGAUUAAUACCCCGCUGUUCUGACGGUACCCAAAGAAUAAGCACCGGCUAACUUCGUG